UUCGCAAUGCCCGAAAGGGUGACGAAGCGACGCCGCGUGGAUGAAGAAGGCCUUCGGGUCGUAAAAUCCUGUCAGGAGUUAAGAAAUAUAAGUUUGAUAAUACCAAAUUUAUUUGACAAAGGCUCCAGAGGAAGCCACGGCUAACUCUGUGCCAGCAGCCGCGGUAAUACAGAGGUGGCAAGCGUUGUUCGGAAUUAUUGGGCGUAAAGAGCACGUAGGUGGAUUUGUUAGUCAGAUGUGAAAGCCUUUCGUUCAACGGAAGAAUUGCAUCUGAAACUACAAACCUUGAGUAUAGGAGGGGAGAGUGGAACUUCUGGUGGAGCGGUGAAAUGCGUAGAUAUCAGAAGGAACGCCGGCGGCGAAAGCGACUCUCUGGCCUAUAACUGACACUGAGUGUGCGAAAGCUAGGGGAGCAAACGGGAUUAGAUACCCCGGUAGUCCUAGCCGUAAACGAUGGGCACUAAGUAGAGGGGUUUU
This 477-nucleotide ribosomal RNA is filed under the name uncultured Candidatus Scalindua sp. RNAcentral's name for it is "bacterial SSU rRNA". It matches the Rfam family "Bacterial small subunit ribosomal RNA", at positions 365 to 832 of the family's 1533-position model. The record is from RNAcentral. Lineage: Bacteria; Pseudomonadati; Planctomycetota; Candidatus Brocadiia; Candidatus Brocadiales; Candidatus Scalinduaceae.